CCCGCCGCAGUUACCCUUUCCUUCAGAUUCCAAUCUUUCACGCCGUCGCUACUCCUCGAUAUGUUCCCUUUUAGGCUGGGAUGACUGAUGAGAUAUACAUUAUCAAAUUCUCGCCCACCAAUUUCUGUUGGCUACAGUGGUGGAGACGGCUAUAAAGGAUGAGGAAAUGGCAACGUAAGCGUUUGGGAGGAGUGCUUGCAGGAACAGGAGAUUCUAGUACCUUUUUAUCUUUUCAUAUGGUCGCAUCCUCGAUCCCUCUUCCGUCCUCAAAAUGGAUUUACUGAUUACAUCUCCAUUGCAGGUACCACGUGCACCAUGGCUGGUUUGCUGCUCUCUAGGCUUUGACGACUCCAUAUAUUGCCAAAGGCCUUCAUCAUGUUUCUCUCAUAAUUCAUAUCACUAAUUCCUCUUGAAAUUGUUGUUUUUGCUUCUAAUCAAACACCAUAGAUUUUCAUAUUUUUAAUACUGAUUGUGUAACUAGUCGAUAGUUGUUCUUGCUGCAUUUUAGCUCUCUGUAAAAGAUGUCUAAUAGAUUAUUAUGAUUUUGGACUAUAUUUGGAGUUAAUAUCUAA
Manihot esculenta (cassava) is the source of this 572-nucleotide long non-coding RNA. RefSeq lists it as uncharacterized. The transcript is spliced from 2 exons. Lineage: Eukaryota; Viridiplantae; Streptophyta; Magnoliopsida; Malpighiales; Euphorbiaceae. The record is from RefSeq and is a predicted model, not a curated record.